RNAcentral lists this ribosomal RNA (1043 nucleotides) under uncultured archaeon. RNAcentral describes it as "bacterial SSU rRNA". It matches the Rfam family "Archaeal small subunit ribosomal RNA", at positions 1 to 1054 of the family's 1478-position model. The record is from RNAcentral.
UCCGUUUGAUCCCGGCGGAGGCCACUGCUAUCGGAGUUCGAUUAAGCCAUGCGAGUCGAGAGGUGAAAGACCUCGGCAUACUGCUCAGUAACACGUGGACAAUCUAACCUACGGAGGGGGAUAACCCCGGGAAACUGGGGAUAAUACCCCAUAGACUAUGGAUGCUGGAAUGCUUUGUAGUCGAAAGGUCCGCCGCCGUAGGAUGGGUCUGCGGCCGAUUAGGUUGUUGUUGGGGUAACGGCCCAACAAGCCUGUAAUCGGUACGGGUUGUGGGAGCAAGAGCCCGGAGAUGGAUUCUGAGACACGAAUCCAGGCCCUACGGGGCGCAGCAGGCGCGAAAACUUUACAAUGCGGGAAACCGUGAUAGGGGAACUCCGAGUGCCCGUUAAAUCGGGCUGUCCAUCUGUUUAAAUAACAGGUGAAGAAAGGGCCGGGCAAGACCGGUGCCAGCCGCCGCGGUAAUACCGGCGGCUCGAGUGGUGGCCACUAUUACUGGGCUUAAAGCGUUCGUAGCUGGUUUGUUAAGUCUCUGGGGAAAUCUUCCGGCUUAACCGGAAGGCGUCUCAGGGAUACUGGCAGACUAGGGACCGGGAGAGGUGAGGGGUACUCCAGGGGUAGGAGUGAAAUCCUGUAAUCCUUGGGGGACCACCUGUGGCGAAGGCGCCUCACCAGAACGGCUCCGACAGUGAGGGACGAAAGCUGGGGGAGCAAACCGGAUUAGAUACCCGGGUAGUCCCAGCUGUAAACGAUGCGCGUUAGGUGUAUCGGUGACCACGAGUCACCGAGGUGCCGAAGAGAAAUCGUGAAACGCGCCGCCUGGGAAGUACGGUCGCAAGGCUGAAACUUAAAGGAAUUGGCGGGGGAGCACCACAACGGGUGGAGCCUGCGGUUUAAUCGGACUCAACGCCGGGAAACUCACCGGACAAGACAGCUGAAUGAUAGUCGGGCUGAAGACUCUACUUGACUAGCUGAGAGGAGGUGCAUGGCCGUCGUCAGUUCGUACUGUGAAGCAUCCUGUUAAGUCAGGCAACGAGCGAGACCCA